Ornithodoros turicata is the source of this 932-nucleotide long non-coding RNA. RefSeq lists it as uncharacterized. Lineage: Eukaryota; Metazoa; Arthropoda; Arachnida; Ixodida; Argasidae. The record is from RefSeq and is a predicted model, not a curated record. The transcript is spliced from 5 exons.
UGGUUGUUAUCGGCGGAUACGAAGGCAGCGGCGGCGGCGUUGACGUUAAGUGAGUGUCUAGUUUGUAUGACUUGAUGCAACACGCCCUUUCGAACGAACUGAUGCGUACGUGAAUGGGUCUGGUUCGCUUUUUGGCCCCGGCCUGCUCAUUCGUUGACGCAGACAAUAUGCUGGAUGUGCGGGAUGCUUGUCAUUCUGACGACGCAUUUCGAAACGAUGAACGCUAGCUGUGAAGCGCACGAAACAGCAAGACAAAAGCCUGGCACGUAGUUAUAUCUGCACCUUGAAGAAGCUGUGCGUCGACGUGCAUCGUAUGCCGUGCUCUAUGGAAAUACAUCCAGCCCUUAUUCGUUUGAGAUGGGUGCUGGUCUACGGAAUGCCGAAAGAGAGCUCGAAGCAGGCGGCAUAAAUAUGGAUGUAUACAUGGAAUGGACUGCAAUGCGACACUGCCAAUGAAGAAUGCGUACUAGAACAUAGCCUGCUCUUAGCCAGACGUCGGACUCCGCAAACAAAACCAGACUUCAUCUGCCUCAGCCAAUGUCCAGUGUGGAAUGGUGGGUAGCAACAUGGAAAGACAAAGUGCAGCAAAACACAGGGAAUGUUUCAACAAACAGCACUUAACAUUUGAGGAAAAUCCUGUAUGACAAAGACUUCAGCGAGUAUAUUGACAUGACUGGGGACGAUGUGGUGGAGCAUCAGUCAUUGCUGAACCUAACAGAACAGCAGAACACUGCAAAUUUGGGGCAGUGUCAGGAUCUUGCACUCCGAAGCAUUGAGAAUGUACCUGUAAGCAGCACCAAGACACAGCCUUUCACUGCUCCAACAGAGCAGGAGGGUCGUCUACUAGCCCAGUAUUACCUACCAGAGACACCUCUCGAUGUCGCAACCACAAUCAAGAACAUGAGGAGGGGUGACAUCCCCGAAGCCUUCAG